CCCUUAGAUGUUCUGGGCCGCACGCGCGCUACACUGAUGCAUUCAACGAGCACCCGCUGGGCCGAGAGGUCCGGCUAAUCUUUGAACGUGCAUCGUGCUGGGGAUAGAUGAUUGCAAUUAUUCAUCUUCAACGAGGAAUUCCUAGUAAACGCAAGUCAUCAGCUUGCAUUGAUUACGUCCCUGCCCUUUGUACACACCGCCCGUCGCACCUAUCGAUUGAAUGGUCCGGUGAAAUUCUCGGACGCGGACUAGCGAUGUUAAUUCGGAGCUUGACUGUGAAAGUUAAUUAAACCUUACCAUUUAGAGGAAGGUGAAGUCGUAACA
RNAcentral lists this ribosomal RNA (324 nucleotides) under uncultured eukaryote. RNAcentral describes it as "partial 18S ribosomal RNA". It matches the Rfam family "Eukaryotic small subunit ribosomal RNA", at positions 1470 to 1796 of the family's 1831-position model. The record is from RNAcentral.